Long non-coding RNA from Macrobrachium nipponense, 1892 nucleotides. RefSeq lists it as uncharacterized. Lineage: Eukaryota; Metazoa; Arthropoda; Malacostraca; Decapoda; Palaemonidae. The record is from RefSeq and is a predicted model, not a curated record. The transcript is spliced from 4 exons.
GAUGAGGUUUCUUAGUUGGGUGUGAUGGAGGUCUUUGAUUGGCCAAGAGAAGGUCUUGGUCGACUUCUUCAUCAGCAGUUCGGAGUCAGCCACCUUCAAGAAACGACAGAGUUAUUAAGCUAAACAUAUGCAAUCUCGUUCCCGCAAUACCACGAUAAUGCAAUACAGCCCUCGUCUGGAGACGUGCCCCUCGUCUGGAGACGUGCCCCUCGUCUGGAGACGUGCCCCUCGUCUGGAGACGUGCCCCUCGUCUGGAGACGUGCCCCUCGUCUGGAGACGUGCCCCUCGUCUGGAGACGUGCCCCUCGUCUUAAAGACCUGCCCUGCCUUCUUUCUUACCAGUCAAGACCAGCGGCAAGGACUGCACUCUUGAGAAAGCAAGACGGCGAGAAGAGUCGACGGAGAGCGAUCUCAAUAAUUACGUAAGCUGGGUAUCCAGGGCUGCUUAAAAAAAUUUCUGGAAGCUUCAAUUUUUUUUUUUUGAUGUUGGGAGGCUGGUUGCCCGUUUUAAAACUCUAUAAUGAUUUUACUACAAAAUCAAAGUUACUGUUAAUUACUACAUGAUGAAGCAAGCACUUCAUCAUGGAGGUCGAAAUAACCAGAUGGUGCCUCGAGCGUACGGGGAACCAUAGAUUUUCCUCGGCGUCUGUCCAGAAAUAAGGUGUCUUUUCAUCCUGCACUUGUGAGACAAUUCCAGGAGAACAAAUACUGGAUAGUUUAACACACCAUAUUUGCAGUGAGCACUUCAACAUUUGGUCGAAAUAACCAGCUGGUGACACGGUGUACGGCCCGUAGAGUCGUUCCUUCCAUACUCUCCUCAUACAGCACAUGUCGACAAUCUAUGUUACCAAAUGCCGGUUAGUUAAAUACACCAUGAAUCCAAUACUUUUUCUUCAUCGCACCUGCAAGAGCGCCUCAGUUGCGUGGUCGGAAUGGUGUUGGCGUGCCACCUCGGUGGCCGCAAAUUCGAUUCUCUGGCAUUUCAUUGCGGAGUGAGUUGUGUAUUUUUGGUGACAAGUAGAAGUUCUCUUGACGUGGUUCAGAAGUCACGUAAAGCCGUUGGUCCCGUUGCUGAAUAACCACUGGUUCCAGGCAACGUAAAAACACCAUACAAACAAACAUCCAGCACCUGCAAGACAAUUCCAGUUACCAAAUCCUGGCUAGUUAAAUUCACCAUGAAUCCCAUAUUUUUUCUUGGUUGCACAACAGACAACCAAAAUAAAAGGAAUUAAACUUCAAAUUAUAUGAUACCAAAGUAUUUUUGGUGGCGAUCUAGCUACCAAGACGGAGUAGAUGACAACUAUAACUUUCUAAAUGCACUUCGAGAUUACUCAAUCUGUCUAGAUGUUUUGGCCGAGCAGGAAAUUUAAGAAUAUUUCAUUGACUGAUAAAAACUAUUCAAUUUGGCAACAUACCGACAUUGAGUGAUGCAACAUUGGUUGGUUAAUAUACUACACAGAUUAACUACGAGAGAGUGAGAAUAACUAUUACGCCACCUCCUCUUCAGCAAUAUACAGCAAAGGUAACUAACUACAAGUGGGCUUAGGAUAACUCCAAAGUUGGAAAACUGAAAGCAGUAUAUCAAAUAUUAUUUAAGGUAACAGAAAGCAAACUAUACAUAGGAUUAUAAGUCACUAGGUACGUAGCUAUUGGAACCACAAUAAUACUGAACGAAGAAAUUAUUUCGAAAAUUUACUCCAUGACACGAGAGAGAGAGAGAGCAGAACGGCUUCAUCACCAUUAUGAAGAAAAAAAUACAUCCUCAGUGAGUGAUUUCCUUUCGCUCAUGACUUUGUCUAUUUCUUAUAAAUUUUAAUCCCAUUGUAAUUAAAUACUGCUGAAAUUACGCCAGCUAAGUAGUUAAUGAAUAUAUACUUAACUUGAUGUAUCUGU